GAUGAAGAACGUAGCGAAAUGCGAUAAGUAAUGUGAAUUGCAGAAUUCAGUGAAUCAUCGAAUCUUUGAACGCACAUUGCGCCCGCUAGUAUUCUGGCGGGCAUACCUGUCCGAGCGUCAUUUCAACCCUCAAGCCCCCGGGCUUGGUGUUGGGGAUCGGCGAGCCUCCGCGCCCGCCGUCCCCUAAAUCUAGUGGCGGUCUCGCUGUAGCUUCCUCUGCGUAGUAGCACACCUCGCACUGGGAAACAGCGCGGCCACGCCGUUAAACCCCCAACUUCUGAACGUUUGACCUCGGAUCAGGUAGGAAUACCCGCUGAACUUAAGCAUAUCAAUAAGCGGAGGA
Molecule: unclassified non-coding RNA, 343 nt
Filed under: soil metagenome
Description: partial contains 5.8S ribosomal RNA, internal transcribed spacer 2, and large subunit ribosomal RNA
Rfam family: 5.8S ribosomal RNA (bases 1-120)
Source: RNAcentral